UCAAGAUAAGCGAGAUGGAAAUGGAGAAAUUUCAUCUUCCUCUACAAACAUUCCUAGUAUCCCGGUUCAAGCUGGGUACGAGUCCUUCUUAUUGUCCCGUUCAACAAGAAUAUCAAAGAGUGAGUUGAGGAACUACUUAGAGGAUGAGGUUUCCCCUCGCAACAAGGCUCUUGAUCUUCUUGGUUGGUUGAAAGGCAAUGCUCCUAGGUACCCAAUUAUGGACAAGAUAGCGAGGAGGUUCCUUACUAUCCCAGCUACCUCCGUGUCUUCGGAAUCUACCUUCAGCACGACCGGAAGGAUUUUAGAUGACUAUAGGAGUUCUUUAAAACCGGUUAUGGUGGAGGCAUUAGUUUGUGGUGCAAGUUAUAUCAAGGGUGCUCAUGUUGACUUGAAUCUGGUGCCGAGGGAUGAGAAUGAAGAGGAUGAUGUUAAGAACAUCAAGUUA
Triticum aestivum (bread wheat) is the source of this 445-nucleotide long non-coding RNA. RefSeq lists it as uncharacterized. The record is from RefSeq and is a predicted model, not a curated record. The transcript is spliced from 3 exons. Lineage: Eukaryota; Viridiplantae; Streptophyta; Magnoliopsida; Poales; Poaceae.